Long non-coding RNA from Sphaerodactylus townsendi, 1858 nucleotides. RefSeq lists it as uncharacterized. The transcript is spliced from 2 exons. The record is from RefSeq and is a predicted model, not a curated record. NCBI's taxonomy places the organism in Eukaryota, Metazoa, Chordata, Lepidosauria, Squamata, Sphaerodactylidae.
UUCAUCAAAUGAGAAUCUGCCGCUAAUAUGGAAGAGCAGGGAAUCAAACCUGGUUCUCCAAAGAGUCCACCACUUUUAACCUCUACACCACACUGGCUCUCAGCAGUACGCAGCUACUUCUGAGCUACUCCAAAAACAAUGCUGAAUCUGCAAUGGUCACAAGAAAUUGCAUUCGUUCCUCCUCCGUUCCGAUUCAGCUUCUCUCUAGAAGCAAGAGGGAGUAAUCUCCACCGCUAGUUUGCAGCCUAUUCUUAAUCCUUGCUUUUGCUGGAUUUUAUAAGAUUAAGAGCUAAAGCCCAAGCUAAGCAUAUCAACAGAGGAUGUUCCUCAGUUAUUCGCUGGCCAUUUGUAUCCUGUUAUCUCCACUUGAACUUGUGUGAUCUGUUAGACAGCCCAAAGAAAAUAGAGGGACGGAGACAGAAUUAAUUGUUCACUGAAAUCCAGCUUAGUGUUAAUGAACUUGACGGAAAGCUCCUUUACGGUGGACUUUGAGUGAGCUCCAAAAUCCGUGUGGGUCACAGGUGAGCAUUAAUUCCAGACGCCUCCGUUGAAGCGAUCAGACUGUUUUCGCAAGGUCUCGCAAAACAAAUUACAGGUGAAAUGAAGCACGCUGCCCGUGAGCUACGCAGCAAGUCAGAUGAACGGUGUUCCGUACACUCAAGAAACUCCAGUUUUAAACAGUCAGCCAAACCAGUCCAAAGGUAUCUUGUGAUUACCAUACUGCUCCUCCGUUUAGAGAUGGAAGAGAUGAUUCAAUGCUGAUCCCACUGGGAUGACGGAGAAGAAAAGUUUGGUUUUAUACCCAGCUUUUCUCAUUGUAAAAAGCCUCAAAGUGGCUUACAUCCCCUUCUCUUCCUCUCCUCACUGCAGACACAUUGUGAGGUCGAUGGGACUGAGAGAGUUCAGAGAGAACUGUGACUAGCCCAAGAUCACUCAGCAAGCUCCGUGUGUUGCCCAAAAGAAACUUCUCAAUUUUUGUUGCUGCUUCCUUUCACAAGCCGUUUUCCUCAUACACCAAACUCUGCUUGAAAGCAAACACUUGGAAAGGGAAGGACCAUCACAAGAAGCAUUGUUAUUGCAUUAUUGUAUUACUGCUUUACGAUGUACAUCGCUCUGAGCCUGCAUAGCAGGGGAGAGCAGUCUAAAAAUCCAAUGAACUAAAAUAAGCUGAAGAAAAGGAUCACUUGGAUACAGUCAGCGCGGAGAUCUUGGAGGCGCAUCCCUAAAACUGGUUGUCUUCAGCCGGUUCGCUUUUGAUGGUUGCUAAGCAAUGAAGCAAAAGGAGCAAGAAACAGAGAGACAUCAGAGGAAACAGACUUUGAGAUCCUAAAAGCAAAUGGGAGAUUCGAUAUAGGUGAUUUCCCUGCAAGAACUGGCUUGCAAUGUGUUCUGCAGUGCUAAAUAUCUUGAACCUUUUUUCCCCCCUAUACCACCGAGAUUUUGUGCGCAGCCUGCCUCCCCACCCCCCACCCUGCUAGUCCAACAUCAGCAUCACGAGCACACCCAGCAGGCAGAGAGAGGCUCCUUCCUAGAACACAGGCUGGCUGCUCACAAGAACCAAACGGUUAGCGUUUGCCUCUAACCUGAAAGGGAAAAUGAAAUCCCCUCUCCUAUCACCGGCAGCAGGGAUUCCUGCAGGCAGAUGAUAAUUCUAUCCAGCUACCUCACCGACAGCCAAGGCAGCUUGACAGACAGAAAGACCAAAGGGAAAUUGAUGCUUAAAAAAAAAAAAAGACUUGGAAUUAAUGGUACCAUCUGCUUCCUGAAAUGUCCUCUCGUCUUGCUUGAUGCAUACUGACCAUGUCUCUUUAGGAUUAUAUUAUGUAGGAGGGAAUAUUACACGGAGGAGCAAAACGCA